UAAGGAAUAUUGGUCAAUGGGGGCAACCCUGAACCAGCCAUGCCGCGUGCAGGAAGAAGGUCCUCUGGAUUGUAAACUGCUUUUAUGAGGGACUAAUCCGGUGCUAUACGCACCGUUGCAGGUACCUUAAGAAUAAGCACCGGCUAACUACGUGCCAGCAGCCGCGGUAAUACGUAGGGUGCAAGCGUUGUCCGGAUUUAUUGGGUUUAAAGGGUGUGCAGGCGGUUUGUUAAGUUAGUGGUGAAAGCGUCCGGCUUAACCGGAUAUCCGCCAUUGAUACUGGCAGACUUGAGUACGACAGAGGAUGUUAGAAUGCGUGGUGUAGCGGUGAAAUGCAUAGAUAUCACGCAGAAUACCGAUUGCGAAGGCAGACAUCUAUGUCGUAACUGACGCUGAUACACGAAAGCGUGGGGAGCGAACAGGAUUAGAUACCCCCGUAGUCC
RNAcentral lists this ribosomal RNA (443 nucleotides) under uncultured prokaryote. Its description in RNAcentral is "bacterial SSU rRNA". It matches the Rfam family "Bacterial small subunit ribosomal RNA", at positions 355 to 796 of the family's 1533-position model. The record is from RNAcentral.